GAUGAACGCUGGCGGCGUGCCUAAUACAUGCAAGUCGAGCGAACAGACGAGGAGCUUGCUCCUCUGACGUUAGCGGCGGACGGGUGAGUAACACGUGGAUAACCUACCUAUAAGACUGGGAUAACUUCGGGAAACCGGAGCUAAUACCGGAUAAUAUAUUGAACCGCAUGGUUCAAUAGUGAAAGACGGUUUUGCUGUCACUUAUAGAUGGAUCCGCGCCGCAUUAGCUAGUUGGUAAGGUAACGGCUUACCAAGGCAACGAUGCGUAGCCGACCUGAGAGGGUGAUCGGACACACUGGAACUGAGACACGGUCCAGACUCCUACGGGAGGCAGCAGUAGGGAAUCUUCCGCAAUGGGCGAGAGCCUGACGGAGCAACGCCGCGUGAGUGAUGAAGGUCUUCGGAUCGUAAAACUCUGUUAUUAGGGAAGAACAAAUGUGUAAGUAACUAUGCACGUCUUGACGGUACCUAAUCAGAAAGCCACGGCUAACUACGUG
This 497-nucleotide ribosomal RNA is filed under the name uncultured bacterium. RNAcentral describes it as "partial 16S ribosomal RNA". It matches the Rfam family "Bacterial small subunit ribosomal RNA", at positions 28 to 507 of the family's 1533-position model. The record is from RNAcentral.